RNAcentral lists this long non-coding RNA (2186 nucleotides) under Triticum aestivum (bread wheat). Its description in RNAcentral is "long non-coding RNA (TAES_LNC009600)". Lineage: Eukaryota; Viridiplantae; Streptophyta; Magnoliopsida; Poales; Poaceae. The record is from RNAcentral.
CAGAGGCAUAUGUUGUUUAUAGGGUUUUUAAUUUCGUCUUGUAUAUGAAGACCAUAGAAAGUGUAAAAUGAAAAUGUAAGUAAAACGCUCCCAGUAUGUUUUGAUUCACAUGGCCAGCGGCUCCAAACUGCGUCUAAUUAGCUGUCAUUUUCAGUUGGAUUUGGUCUCUUAACAGCACUUGGUUGUACGAGUUGAAUCAUAGAACAGGAGGCAGGUAAGUACAGGGGACAGGUAAGCAUUGUUAUUAUGAUCUGUUUGUAGCUUCCUAAAAAUGAGUGUACUGUCAUGGUCAUUUGACACAAUGAAGAAAAAACAAAUGAGUGUAGGCUGAUAGAAGUCGUAAUUGUGAGUUGGCACCUUGCUUUCAACAAAAGUUCAUCUCAUUGCUCCCUAUUUGUACGACAGCAAUACAUAUCAGUAAAAUAAAAGGAUGUUUAUUAGCCACUUUUAGACGUGGUGGCAUAAUAUCAGUAAAAACUAAAGAAUGCUACUAUUCAUCAGUUUUCCUUUUGCGAAUAUUUGCGUUGCCUUUUUUGGACCAUAACUUUUUGUUCUUUUUCAGAUGCAUAGUGUGCUACUACAAAAUAUUUACUUGAUCCUUGAUUGACAUACUUUUGUGAACUGAGAUCUUGCGCUCUGCUUUUACCAAUCAGCCUGUUUGCUUCUUUUCUUACAUGUACUUUAAUUAUACAUUUCUGGAUUUGGUGCUUUGAUUUGCUGCAGUUUCCUUGAUUUAGUAGAUGCAUGAUGUGCAUCAAUACACUGGACUUCAUGAUCGGUUUUCCAUCUCACAUCAAUAGUUUAGGCCACUAUUUGUUUAUCCAUGCAUUUUAGGUAAACAUUGGUGUAGACUUGGUUGUUUUUUUUUGGUUGUUUGUGGUAUCCAUUUUCCCCUACACUAAGUAAUAGCCCGUGCGUUGCAACUUGCAACGGAGGCAUACAAAAUGUACCACUAAAAUUUUAGUUAGUUUUUUACAUAACAACCAUGAUUUACCUUUAUUGUUAAUGUGAACCUUGAUUUACCAUCUAUUUAUUGUUAAUGUGUCUGCAUACUAACUGAUGCAAUUAGCAAGUGUUAAGUGAUAACCUAAUUCUUGAAUAUCAGUUGUGGGAAAGUGCAGCACAAAUUAAUCCUAAUUAAAUUCUUUCCCCAACCUGCUUGGUCCUACAACAGGCAAACAUUAGGUUGCUAGCAACAAAAUGAUAUGCAAGGAAUAAAUUGCAACCCCACAGAAGAGAAAAAAAGGGCUCUAUACCUUUUAUCCUCCCAAUCUGCAAAACAAAUAGAAUUGAGACAUAUCGUGCCAAUUUAAUUACUAAAGCUCAUGUCCAAUUUUGGAAGCUAAUGGCCAAGUAGUUGGCAAUUUUGUUUCUGAAGAGAAAUGCAUUGAUGCAAUUUUGUCCACUUCGGAUCAUUCCCUCUUAACAAAAUGCCAGUGAUGUUUCUCUUAAUGUAGUAUACUGACCAUUUCAGCAGCAUAAUUUCUCUAAGUGACCAUGCAGUAUUCAGUGACUUUUCUAGGUGACUAAUAUGCAGCAUGCAUGGAUGGCUGGGAGACUGGGCAGAGAGAGUUUGUCAUGAAAACUGUUUUUCGCUUUAACUUUCACUUUGUUGUGUUUCCUCUGUCCAUUCUUUCCUCAGUUAAAACUUCAUUGCCAAAAACCAGAUUACCUCCUUCCAUGAUCUGCACAAAGGCAUAAGAAUACUAAAGUGUCACCAGACUGAGAGAUGCAAAGUACCAAGUGCAUAAAAUCUGUGUCCAAAUCGUUUAGUUAUGACAAUUACAAAUUUAGUUGUUUAAUAUAUACAAUAAGAAAUUCAGUGUUCUACCAAUUACAUCAAAUUAGUAGUCAGUUUAUCCCAUGCAGUGCACAGGAAAAUGUCAAAACAAAGGAGAGGAUGAGGCCGUCUACCUUGUAGAGGAGCAAGCCCGUACUUGCUGCUGCCGGUCUUGGUGCCGCCUUCGCAUAGGUGGAGUUCGUCAAGGUCGAGAUCUGCGAGAUCCCCAGAGUGGCGCAUGUUAUAAGAGCAUCAAAAGAAUUCAGAGGAGGGGCUCUGAAUCGAACAUAGAAGAAUCAAAUCUUUUGCUUGCGGCGCCGGAUCAUGAGCCCCCGGCGCCAAUCGACCGGUGCCCCAUCGGCCUCUCUGGGUCAGUGACGUAGCAGACUGAUGCGAAGGCAGAGCC